UUAUAAGCUCCGGAUUUAUGACAGGCUCGUCUCUGUGGGCCUCUCAUAGUGCCCCAUGCCAGAGCAAAGUAUAACCCCGAACCAUUGCCUGGCCUCUGUGUCCAUAGGCCGCUGGCACUGAAGUGGGUUGCACAAUG
RNAcentral lists this small nucleolar RNA (137 nucleotides) under Carlito syrichta (Philippine tarsier). RNAcentral describes it as "Small nucleolar RNA SNORA42/SNORA80 family (ENSTSYG00000035907.1)". It matches the Rfam family "Small nucleolar RNA SNORA42/SNORA80 family". Rfam says of the family: The members of this family belong to the H/ACA class of snoRNAs that guide the sites of modification of uridines to pseudouridines. Human ACA42 (SNORA42) was cloned from HeLa cells by immunoprecipitation with anti-GAR1 antibody. Lineage: Eukaryota; Metazoa; Chordata; Mammalia; Primates; Tarsiidae. The record is from Rfam by way of RNAcentral.